This 253-nucleotide ribosomal RNA is filed under the name uncultured bacterium. RNAcentral's name for it is "partial 16S ribosomal RNA". It matches the Rfam family "Bacterial small subunit ribosomal RNA", at positions 524 to 776 of the family's 1533-position model. The record is from RNAcentral.
UACAGAGGUCCCAAGCGUUGUUCGGAUUCACUGGGCGUAAAGGGUGCGUAGGCGGUCGGGUAAGUCUGACGUGAAAUCUCCAAGCCUAACUUGGAAACUGCGUUGGAUACUAUCCGGCUCGAGGAAUGGAGGGGAGACUGGAAUACUUGGUGUAGCAGUGAAAUGCGUAGAUAUCAAGUGGAACACCAGUGGCGAAGGCGAGUCUCUGGACAUUUCCUGACGCUGAGGCACGAAAGCCAGGGGAGCAAACAGG